RNAcentral lists this transfer RNA (63 nucleotides) under Cavia porcellus (domestic guinea pig). It matches the Rfam family "tRNA". Rfam says of the family: Transfer RNA (tRNA) molecules are approximately 80 nucleotides in length. Their secondary structure includes four short double-helical elements and three loops (D, anti-codon, and T loops). Further hydrogen bonds mediate the characteristic L-shaped molecular structure. tRNAs have two regions of fundamental functional importance: the anti-codon, which is responsible for specific mRNA codon recognition, and the 3' end, to which the tRNAs corresponding amino acid is attached (by aminoacyl-tRNA synthetases). tRNAs cope with the degeneracy of the genetic code in two manners: having more than one tRNA (with a specific anti-codon) for a particular amino acid; and 'wobble' base-pairing, i.e. permitting non-standard base-pairing at the 3rd anti-codon position. Lineage: Eukaryota; Metazoa; Chordata; Mammalia; Rodentia; Caviidae. The record is from Rfam by way of RNAcentral.
GGGGAUUUAGCUCAGUGGCAUAGCGCCUGCCUUGCAAGCAGGCAGUCGUGAAAUCGAUCCCCG